GUGGGGAAUAUUGGACAAUGGGGGGAACCCUGAUCCAGCCAUGCCGCGUGUGUGAAGAAGGCCUUUUGGUUGUAAAGCACUUUAAGCGAGGAGGAGGCUACCGAGAUUAAUACUCUUGGAUAGUGGACGUUACUCGCAGAAUAAGCACCGGCUAACUCUGUGCCAGCAGCCGCGGUAAUACAGAGGGUGCAAGCGUUAAUCGGAUUUACUGGGCGUAAAGCGCGCGUAGGUGGCCAAUUAAGUCAAAUGUGAAAUCACCGAGCUUAACUUGGGAAUUGCAUUCGAUACUGGUUGGCUAGAGUAUGGGAGAGGAUGGUAGAAUUCCAGGUGUAGCGGUGAAAUGCGUAGAGAUCUGGAGGAAUACCGAUGGCGAAGGCAGCCAUCUGGCCUAAUACUGACACUGAGGUGCGAAAGCAUGGGGAGCAAACAGGAUUAGAUACCCCUGUAGUCC
Molecule: ribosomal RNA, 451 nt
Filed under: uncultured bacterium
Lineage: Bacteria
Description: partial 16S ribosomal RNA
Rfam family: Bacterial small subunit ribosomal RNA
Source: RNAcentral